CUCCAGACUGGGCAACAAGAGAGAAACUCCGUCUCAAAAAAAACAAAACAAAAAAAAACAAAAAAACAAAAAACAAACUUGCUAGUGCAGUCAGUAAACACACAUAGUGCCUACCAGACUCCAGUCAAUCUCUCCAGCUCCGGCCUUGACACUCCCCACGUAACCCUGCUCCCCAGAGGCACUGGCCUUCGUCCAGUCCUUUGGAUGUGCCUGCUUGUUCCCACCUCAGAACCUUGGCAGUUUGUCAUUUCCCUCCCCUGUGUCGAUCUCUCUGGAUUUCCCCAGGACUGGAUUCUUCCUGACUCCCCGUCUCGAUCUCUCUGGAUUUUCCCAGGACUGGAUUCUUCCUGACUCCCCGUCUGGAUCUCUCUGGAUUUUCCCAGGACUGGAUUCUUCCUGACUCCCCAUCUCAAUCUCUCUGGAUUUUCCCUGGGCUGAAUUCUUCCUGAUAAGUCAUUCUUGAUAUUCAAAGGUUUGCUGAAAUGUCACCUCCUCAGAGAAAUUCUCCCCACCGCGCCCCCAACCACUAUCAUGCCAACUUACUUUGCAUGUCAGAUGGUGUGUAGGGAGUGACUGCUGUUAGCAAUGACUCUUGAUUGAUUUUUGUUCUGGUCGGCUUCUCAUCUGCUGAAAUAGAAGCCCCAUGAGGGCAGGACACUUCUCCUGUGUUCACCGGUGUACUCCCAGUGCCUAGCAAGUUACCUGUGAGUUCCCACUGAACCGCGGCCACCUGCGGCGAGCUCCCACUGAACUGCAGGCCCUGAAGUGAGUCCGGGAUGGAUUUGCCAAACAAAGACAUCACCAACACCACAGAAUAAGGUUCUAGACAAGGAACAAAGAAACAAGCAACAAGUGUUCGAGGAAGAGAAUAAUGGAUCUCAUUUAUUCUAAGGCAUAUUUUUUAGACUUUAAAACUUUCGCCAUAAUUUAGUAAACAGCAUUUUUCUUUCAUCAUGGUGCCUCAAAUAAUAUGCAUCUUGAAAAUGCAUGACCUCAACCAAAAAAAAAAAAAAGGGAAAAA
Non-coding RNA from Chlorocebus sabaeus (green monkey), 1021 nucleotides. The record is from RefSeq and is a predicted model, not a curated record. NCBI's taxonomy places the organism in Eukaryota, Metazoa, Chordata, Mammalia, Primates, Cercopithecidae.